This is a non-coding RNA of Schizosaccharomyces pombe (fission yeast), 873 nucleotides long. The record is from the annotation of a GenBank genome assembly. Lineage: Eukaryota; Fungi; Ascomycota; Schizosaccharomycetes; Schizosaccharomycetales; Schizosaccharomycetaceae.
UAGGAAGAAGACAAAAAAUAUUUCGGAAUUUAACUCUUCUUUCAUCACCAAUUUGAUGCUUAACUUUGAAUGUUUUUUCGAGUUUUAUGAGCUCGUGCACUGUGAGCUUUCCCAGUAUCAAUAUUCGACUUAGUUGGGGUAUUCGGCUCUGAAUUAAUGUUAUUCUUUGCAAGGUUUUGUGGCCAUUUGGUAUCCUUUUUCAUAAUUGAUUCCGGAGUACUGUUUAACGAAUGCUUCUCUCUAUUACCAGGGCUCACGAUGUGUUUCAAGGACCAUAGGACACGCUUAGAUCUUUUCUUAGACGGUGUAGGUGAUUCCUUUGGAUAGAGGCCGGUUUCUAAAGAGCCAGUCCUUCUCCUUUUAUUUUUCGCAGGGGCUUUUUGCAUUUCCUUUUCAGCAGAAGAGUGGUCUAACGGACUUAAUGAAGAUUCUAAAGGUAACUUUUGUUUACCUACAGGGUCUUUUUCUUCUUCAGAUUUGAAGAGUUGAUUUUUGAUUUUUGCCUUCUCUUCUUUCAGUUUUAGUAAUUUGACAGGACUUGAUUUACUCUGCAGAGAUUUCAAAGUGGACCGGAGAGCUGGGCUUGAUUCAAGUGUAGCUAAUCUUCGUAGUCUCUUUUGAGUUGCAAAUGUAGAAUUUGGUGCAAAAGCUUCUAACUUGGUCCUAAUGGAAGGUGGAGAUGGAGUUGAGUGGUCGACAAUUACGAAUGUCUUCGAACUUGAUGUAGGGGUUCUUAAUGGAGAAAAUGUCGAUGAUCGGUUUUUAUUAGGAACUUUGAGAGGAGGAGACUUACUUAAGAUGGAGGUGGGUAAUUUAACACGGGAAGGUGGAGACUUUAUAGUUGAUGACAACGAUUUCUUAGGACUCGGCACA